This 80-nucleotide transfer RNA is filed under the name Tritrichomonas foetus. It matches the Rfam family "tRNA". Rfam says of the family: Transfer RNA (tRNA) molecules are approximately 80 nucleotides in length. Their secondary structure includes four short double-helical elements and three loops (D, anti-codon, and T loops). Lineage: Eukaryota; Parabasalia; Tritrichomonadida; Tritrichomonadidae. The record is from Rfam by way of RNAcentral.
GGCAGUUUGGCCGAGGGGAUUAAGGCAUCAGAUCAAAUGAUUUAAUCUGGUUUGCGGAGGUUCGAAUCCUUCAUCUGCCA